UCUUCAACAACCCAUGUAAUACAUAGGGGAAAGAGAUACAUAGUUGGCUUACAAUCGCCACUUCACACAAUACAUGAAUAAAUCAUUACAUCAUCCAGAUACAAUCCGGGUCCGACUACGGAACCAAAAUAAAAGAAGACUACCCCAAAUGCUACACAGAUCCCUGAUCGACCCCAACUGGGCUCCGCUACUGAUCAACUGGAAACGAAACAACAUAAAGGACAAAAUCUUCAUCGAGCUACUCCUUGAGCUGGGUUGCGUCAUCUGCACGGUUCAACGGCACCUGCAAGCUGGUUUUGGAAGUAUCUGUGAGUCACAGGGACUCAGCAAUCUCACACCCUCGCGAUCAAGACUAUUUAAGCUUAUAGGUAAGGUAAGGUAUGAUGUGGAGCUGCAGCAAGCGACUAGCAUAUUUGGUGGCUAACAUACGCAAAAGAGAGCGAGAAGAGAAGGUAAAGCACGAUCGAGAAACUAUGAUUAAGAAGUGAUCCUAGAACAACCUACGUCAAGCAUUACUCCAACACCAUGUUCACUUCCCAGACUCCGCCGAGAAGAUACCAUCACGGUAACACACGCGGUUGGUGUAUUUAAUUUAAGUUAAGUUUCAUGUUAUCUACAACCGGACAUUAACAAAUUCCCAUCUGCCCAUAACCGUGGGCACGGCUUUCGAAAGUUCAAAUCCCUGCAGGGGAGUCCCAACUUAGCCCAUCACAAGCUCUCACGGUCAACGAAGGAUAUUCCUUCUCCCAAGACAUUCCGAUCAGACUCGGCAUCCAGGUUAUAAGACAUUUCGACAAUGGUAAAACAAGUCCAGCAACACCGCCCGAAUGUGCCAACAAAUCCCGAUAGGAGCUGCACAUAUCUGGUUCUCAGGGCACACUCAGAUGAGCUCUCCAUACAACUAAAACCAAACCUCGAGUUUCCCCGAGGGGGCGCUGCACAGGGCUCUAGUUUGGACCAACACUCAGAGUAGCACUGGCCCGGGGGGUUUAAAUAAAGAGGACCCUUGGGCUCCGGAAACCCAAGAGAAAAAGAGGCUAGGUGGCAAAUGGUGAAACCAAGGUUGGGCAUUGCUGGAGGAGUAUUAUUCAAGGCGAACUGUCAAGGGGUUCCCAUUAUAACCCAACCACGUAAGGAACGCAAAAUCCGGGAACAUAACACCGAUAUGAUGGAAACUAGGGCGGCAAGAGUGGAACAAAACACCAGGAAUAAGGCCGAGCCUUCCACCCUUUACCAAAUAUAUAGAUGCAUUAAUUAAAUAAGAGAUAUUGUGAUAUCCCAACAAAAUAUCCAUGUUCCAAACAUGGAACAAGCUCCAAUCUUCACCAGCAACUAACAACGCUAUAAGAGGGGCUGAGCAAAGCGGUAACAUAGCCAAACAAUGGUUUGCUAGGACAAGGUGGGUUAGAGGAUUGGUUCAACAAUAUGGGAGGCAUUAUAAGCAAGUGGUAGGUAUCGCAGCAUAGGCAUAGCAAAAGAGCGAGCAACUAGCAAGCAAAGAUCGAAGUGAUUUCGAGGGUAUGGUCAUCUUGCCUGAAAUCCCGCAAGGAAGAAGAACGAGUCCAUGAAGAAGACAAACGGACGUAGAUGAAUGGAUCCUCACAACUCCGGAACGAAACCGAAGCAAAGGCGAGAAGUAACCCGGAAAGAAACAAACAACAAAGUAAACAACCAUCACAUAAUCAUGGCAUGAUGCACAAUUGAGUAUGAUGCAUGUCCGGUUUAAUGAAGCAUGGCAUGGCAAAGUGCACAAGCAAUCGUACAAAUUAAGUGGAGCUCAAUAUGCAUCCCCAUUGCAUAUUGACGAAACACCACGUUCAAGUUAUUUAGUUCGAUCUCGUUUAUGUACCCAACAAUAUUAAAUGUUAUUAACCAUGGCAAGAGGGUGAAGCAAAAGUAAACUAAACCUUUAGGCAUGUUUAAAUGAGGCCAGAAAUAACAAACAACAAUUCCGGUAACACCCCAUAUGCAUAUUAUAAGGUUUGGUACUGUUCUGCCCUAAACACAAUUUUAGAGUUAUUAAUCAUGCUAGAUGAGUGCAUCAUGUUAAACUAGGCAUUUUUCCACCCCAUUUACAUAUAAAGUUUAUUAAAUUCCGAGUUACGGUUAUUUAGUUAUGAAAUAAAUCAUUUUAGCAUGGCAUAGGAGCAAAUUUAACCAAACAACAUUUUAAACAUUUUAAACAUGGAUGAAAGUUGCAAAUAAUUAACCUACACAUAAUUCUAAGCAUUUUUCAUAUAUAAUUCAUUUUAAUCCGAUGCACCAAUUGAGAGUUAUUAUAUGCAUGUUGUCUAGGGGGUUUCCUGCAAAACUGCUGUGUCUGGAAAAUUAGCUAAAACGUUCUGCAAAAAAAAACACCUCUCGGGCCGAAUCUGGUGCACUGCUGGGCUGAAUAGAGAGGAAGGACUAGAGCUAUGCUCACAUUGGGCCACUGGGCCAGAAGCGGCGAAGCGGUGACGGGCCAAGAGGAGGCACCGCUGGGCCUUGGCGGCAGAGGGAGCUGGGCCGCCGCGUUGGACCUCAUAGGCAGAGCGAAGCGGAGGCGGCGCGAUCGGGCACGUCGUCUCUGAUCGACAGGAAGCAGGUUCAGUGCAGGGGCGAGGCAGGGGAAUUGGCCGGCGACGCAGGUGGGCUCCGACGAGGUCGCCGGUGGCCGGGGACGAGGCCUAGCUGCCGGGAUCCGGCUGGAACAAGCAAGUGCGGUGGAGUACCAGUCGGAUCUGGUGGUGGAAGCCGAUAGUGGCUGGCGCGGCCGCAUGCGAGGAGGUCAACGCAAGGCCGGCGGUGAUGAGGGACUUGGCAUGGGGCGACGGCUUGGCGCGCAGAGGAGGCCAGUGGGAGGAAGAGCAGCUCGGGCACGCUCGGGGUUGAGCUCGUGCGUGAAGUCCUCGGCCACGGGAAGCUGGGUAUGUCACAGGCUCGGGGAGGCAUCAGGCGAUCUCCAUCUCGUUGCAGGGGAUGUAGGGGUGGCAGGGACUAGGCGACCUUGAUGCAGGGGAGAGGUGGAGGCGUGGAUUCAGUGAGGCGGCGGAGUUCCUUUGGUGGCCAUGGCGCCUGGGUGCUCCCUAUUGCAGCGGUACGAGAGAAAGAGAGAGAUGAGAGAGGGGAAAACAGGAGGAGCAAGGGAAGAAUGAAGCGGAGAGGAAAGGAGGCGCUCAUCUCUUCCAUGGAGCUCGGCUCGGGGACGAGGCCCUCGGCUAGCUCGGGCGAUGGGUGAUGCGGAGGCAUUCGUCUGCAGGGUGGAUCUGGUUGGUGGAGGUUUAGAUCGAGAGAGAUGCAGGGAUUGGUUCGGCGUGGAAUCCGAGGAAGUGAGUGGCGGCGGUGGGAUGGAUCCCUAGGAAUUAGGGAUUUGGUCUAGUUUAGGCUAUUAUAUAUAGUAAGUGGGUUUGGUUAAUGGCUAUAUCGUCCCUCCGAUCGCAAUCGGAUGAUCGCGAAUAAAAUAGCUAGGGGUUCCAAAUAAGAAAACGGUGACGUUUUGUAGAUGUUUGGGGAUGAUCCGGACACAACGGUAACGACUGUCCGGGUCAGGUCCGGGACAACUUUCGGGCGAGCGCGCGAGGAGGGCCGUGGGCUGACGAGAGGUUAGGUUGGGCCUGGCAGUAGGUAGUGGGCUGUAUAGACGGUCUCAAGCUGAGAGAUGAUGAGAGAGGGAGGCCCGGUGACUGUUUUCGGAGACCGAAAACGUCCGACGUUAGACCGGCUAUACUGCCGCUAUAGUUAUCCGUUGGGGCGUCAAAUGGACUCCGAACGCAAUGAAACUUGGCAGGCGGUCUACCUACACUAUAACAAGACCACACGUGAACUCUCAUCCCAUUCCGAGAACAGUUUCCGGCCAAUUAUAAAAUAAUAUCUCAGACGUGCCGCGGGCGCGUGCAAGUGUGUCUGGGCUCAGAACGGACAAUGGACGGAACUGGGGAACCCGGGCGGAUGCAAGAUUGAAAAUAGAAGAUGCAAUGCACAUGAUGACAUGAUGAAAUGCAACAUGCAAGCACAUGACAUGGCAAUGUCGGCGAAUAACAGGAAGACACCUGGCACAUCGGUCUCGGGGCAUCACAACACUCCACCACUACAAGAGGAUCUCGUCUCGAGAUCUAGAAUGGCACCGGAGGGAAACGGAAGAGAAAGAGAAGAGGUAAAGCUUAGUUGCUCCUUUGACAAACGAGUGAAACCAAAGAACCUUGCAAAGGUUAAGCCAUUUCGAGAAAAGAAUACAACAGAGAUGAACGAAGUAGAAAGCACUCCGUUAGGAAAGAGGAACGAGGAAGAACAAGGUUGAAAGCACACCGGUAGGGAAGAGUAAUAAGGAAGAACAAAUUCGGGCAGCACUGCAAAUGAAAAGAAAUACAAGGCUUGAUAAGGUGAAAAGAACUUGAGCAAAAAGGACAGAACACUCCGGUUAAAUGGAUAAGGAAAAGAAAGAAGCAUGAUCUUGACAAAACAAAAUGAUGGGUUGAAAAGAGCAACAUCGCAAUGCCUCCGGAACAAAAGAAUAGAAGAUAGAUAAUUGAAAUAGGAGAAUGGAGAAGAAAAUGUCAACUUCUGUCACAAAAGAGCUUGAAAAGGCAUCUUUAGGAGAAGGGUCGAACGGAAUUGUUGUCAAAACCAACAACGAAAAGUAUAAGCUUGUUGUGUGCUUAUGGAAAACAUCUCAUAACUAUGAGGUUAAAUUCCGCCACUAACGUAAACAAUGGAUUUUGAGUUGAUAUGAAUAAGGAGGAGAGAAACUAUUUCACCGCGAGGAUAGAAGAACUUGGGUCAUUUAUAAGCACCAUAAUAGCCACAAUCCUUAGAGAAGACUUUAGGUGAAAUAUAACCCAAGGUAACUCCAAUGACGAGAUUGGUGGAUUUAAAAUACCUCACCUUGAUAACUUGUGAAACACAAAGCACGAAGGGAAAUUAUCAAGAAUGACAUAACACCACCUCAAAAGAUAUGCGUGAAAGAAUUGCACUCCGGAUUGCAAGAUGAAGAAAACUUGAGCUCCUCUGAAAAAAUCUUGAUGAACACUUCGAGAAGGAAUUAAAUCAUUGGUGAACCAUCAUGUACAACCUUCAUGAAGAACUCCACUAGUAAAAGAAAUGAUCAACCGAAAUGGAGGAUGAAAAGAAUAAGGUUGAAUCCUUGCAAUGAUUUAAAAGAAUCUCCGUGGUGAUGUAAUUGCGAGAGCUAGGAACUCCGGGAGGAGAAAAGAUAAAACAUCUCGAACCAAGAAUGUGAUAUGAUGCACCUCCGAAAUAAGAAAUCGAAUCACUUGGAAGAAACAAGAAUAAGAAUUACAUUAUGCUUAUCCUUCACUAAUUCAAAUUGAUGACAAGCAAUGGAAUUGGCAUACUACUUAUUCUCAUAGAAAGGAUUAAGAGAGAUAUAACAUAAACUUGGGAAGGUCUUCAAUGAACCGCCGGUAGGAUUGAAACAAUGAAUGAAUUAACAUGAUAAACAAAGGAAGAGGAACUCUUGAACGAACCACCGUAAGAAUUGAAAAGGAACGAAUAAAACAUGAAGAAAACACCGGGAAGGAUUAGCAAAUGAACGAAGAUGUUUGAGAGAAAUUAGAUCCAAGUGAAGCGAAUAGAUCACAGACCGAUUAAAGAUCACUUGAACGAUGCACCGGUAAGAUCGGAGAAUGAUAAUUGAAAGCUAAGAAUGAAUAAACCUGAAAUGAUGGACUCCAGAUAAUCAAACUGAGAAGACUCUUGAAUAGCUCCUGAUAGGUGAAAAGAAAUCUCACAACCGAAGAGAAUUAUGAGAGGAUGGCAACAAGCUAGAGCCAUGAAUCUUCAAGAGAACGAUCAAGAUUUAGAGGAAAACACUUGUUCGGUCUUCAAAAUCCGAGAAUGACGACGAGGAACACCACCAUGAAUUGUUGAGACACUCCGGAAGAAUCAAAAGCGAAGAGGUUGAGCCAAUGAUGAAAAGAAUGUGGACGAUCUUGGAGAAAAACAUAAGACUGAUGAUAAUUCAUUCUUACAUCAAACUUCGAAAAGAAUUUAGGAUAGCUCCGGGAAAAUAAGAAGAGUCAGGUACGAUCCUGGGAAAAGACCUUUGGGUUAGGGCCCACUCAAAAGAAAACACCGUUGGAAUGAUUAAAAAGAGAGGUUGCACCGAUUGAAUUAAAAGGCUUGAAUGAGAUAACAUCCUCAAAAUAGCUUGAACGGAUUAAGAGUGGAAACACGAAUCUUCUAAGAUAUAUUUAGCACUCCGGAGCAAAAGAAUAGCGAGAGGUGAACGAUUAUGAGGUGCACUGGCAUAAGAAAAGCAUUGGACAAAAAAGAAAAGACAAUGCUCAAUACCAAAGUUUGAAUUGAAUCCACCGUAGAUGGAAAAUAAGUGACGAGAGACGAACUAGAAGCUUCAUUAGCAUCUUCCUGAGAAAUAAUCGGAUAAGACAUUGGCAGAAAAUAAUCGAAAGACUUCACAACAAUAAAAGGAUACUUGAAUAAGAAAUCUGGUUCCUUGAAGAAAAGGGUGGGAGGGAGGGAAAACAAAGGCAAUUUGGGACGAAUGAAAUGAACACCAUUGAAAAGAACUGAGAUUGGAUCUUGCAAAUGUUGAAGUGAUUGGAUCCACUUGAAGAGAAACACGCCGGUAGAGAAGAAAUUUAGAUGACAAUCUCGAUGAUCAAGAAGGAUUUGUAUUCACAGAGAAAUAUGAAAACACCGCUUGGAAAAGGUAUGGAAUCAACAUUCGACUUCGAAGCAACUCGAAUACCACAACUCAAAACAAACAAAGGAUUGGCUUGCAGAAUAAGCCGGAACAAACAUAUGAUAGAGAUUUCGUCCGAAGUUUUCGUGGUGGGGCCUACACGGGCUCGAUCAUACAGCACCAUCAUGUACAAGGCAGUGCACAUGACAUACGAAGCGUCCCCGAGUCGGCAUAGCCAAGGACUCUUUAAGACACAAUGAGACCAUUGUAAAACCAAGCGUGGAUAGGCGAACUACUAGACGUCGAACCCCAAUUUCAUAUCAUACAUCUGUCAGAAAGAUAUCCUAAGAGCUACUUGAAUUCCCACUUAUAAACUCCCGAAAUUUUCCUGUUAUGCAAUAAGAUCUUGGGGAUACAGGGGAAGCAUAAUAUCUCACCCAAAACUAGCAAAUCCUACAUCCAGCUGUAUCCAUCCUUCAACACAUAACCAAGAAACCUUCGGAAAUCGUCUACCUCAACCUUCGAAAAGCAUCCGUUAUACGAGUUAUGGCAAUACUCCCGAACUCCCGCCCCAGUACUGGGUAGCGUCGAGGUUAUCUCACCAACAACUGCAUAAAAGAGAUUUUCGAUGUCGGCGAAACUAAACUCAGGUAUUCCAGAACUGCAACGAUAAAAUUGUGACGACAACACCUCGGAGCUCAACUCCCCGGGACACUUCCACAACCCCUAAAUGACAGGAGGCACCAAGAACAAUGUUUUUGUCACAAAACCAUCGGAACGAUUCCAAGAUACCCGCAUGAUCCUAAUUUUUUUUAGUGAAAUUUGAGAAGAGAAGAGUCAAAACUCUACGUCAGGAUACCUCACCAGAGCGACGAAGGGACUGAGGAGUAAAAGAAUUCCUAACUCUCUGAUAUAUAUAAUCCUAAAUGACUCAAAACAUUUUUCUAUACUCAACAACGCCAACGAUUCGAUCAAGCAUGGGGCUCCUAAGGUCGGGGAAGGCUCUGAUUACCAACUUGUAACAUCCUCGAUGCGGCUAUAUCUCCCACGUGUCGAAGCAUGACUUAGAGGCAUAACCGCAUUGAAAGCAAUGUCGCAAGUGAGGUAAUCUUCAACAACCCAUGUAAUACAUAAGGGAAAGAGAUACAUAGUUGGCUUACAAUCUCCACUUCACACAAUACAUGAAUAAAGCAUUAGAUCAUCCAGAUACAAUCAAGGUCCGACUACAAAACCAAAAUAAAAGAAGACUACCCCAAAUGCUACACAGAUCCCCGAUCGACCGCAACUAGGCUCCGCUACUGAUCAACUGGAAACGGAACAACAUAAAGGACAAAAUCUUCAUCGAGCUCCUCCUUGAGCUGGGUUGCGUCAUCUGCACGGUUCAAGGGCACCUGCAAGCUGGUUUUGGAAGUAUCUGUGAGUCACAUGGACUCAGCAAUCUCACACCCUCGCGAUCAAGACUAUUUAAUCUUAUAGGUAAGGUAAGGUAUGAUGUGGAGCUGCAGCAAGCGACUACCAUAUUUGGUGGCUAACAUACGCAAAAGAGAGCGAGAAGAGAAGGCAAAGCACGAUCGAGAAACUAUGAUUAAGAAGUGAUCCUAGAACAACCUACGUCAAACAUUACUCCAACACCGUGUUCACUUCCCGAACUCCGCCGAGAAGAGACCAUCACGGUAACACACGCGGUUGGUGUAUUUUAAUUAAGUUAAGUUUCAUGUUAUCUACAACCGGACAUUAACAAAUUCCCAUCUGCCCAUAACCGCGGGCACGGCUUUUGAAAGUUCAAAUCCCUGCAGGGGUGUCCCAACUUAGCCCAUCACAAGCUCUCACGGUCAAUGAAGGAUAUUCCUUCUCCCAAGACAUUCCAAUAAGACUCGACAUCCAGGUUACAAGACAUUUCGACAAUGGUAAAACAAGUCCAGCAACACCGCCUGAAUCUGCCGACAAAUCCCGAUAGGAGCUGCACAUAUCUCGUUCUCAGGGCACACUCAGAUGAGCUCUCCACACAACUAAAACCAAACCUCGAGUUUCCCUGAGGGGGCGCUGCACAGGGCUCUAGUUUGGACCAACACUCAGAGGAGCACUGGCCCGGAGGGGGGGGGGGGGUUAAAUAAAGAUGACCCUUGGGCUCCGGAAACCCAAGGGAAAAAGAGGCUAGGUGGCAAAUGGUGAAACCAAGGUUGGGCAUUGCUGGAGGAGUUUUAUUCAAGGCGAACUGUCAAGGGGUUCCCAAUAUAACCCAACCGCGUAAGGAACGCAAAAUCCGGGAACAUAACACUGAUAUGACGGAAACUAGGGCGGCAAGAGUGGAACAAAACACUAGGCAUAAGGCCGAGCCUUCCACCCUUUACCAAAUAUAUAGAUGCAUUAAUUAAAUAAGAUAUAUUGUGAUAUCCCAACAAAAUAUCCAUGUUCCAAACAUGGAACAAGCUCCAAUCUUCACCUGCAACUAACAAUGCUAUAAGAGUGGCUGAGCAAAGCAGUAACAUAACCAAACAACGGUUUGCUAGGACAAGGUGGGUUAGAGGCUUGGUUCAACAAUAUGGGAGGCAUGAUAAGCAAGUGGUAGGUAUCGCAGCAUAGGCAUAGCAAAAGAGCGAGCAACUAGCAAGCAAAGAUAUAAGUGAUUUCGAGGGUAUGGUCAUCUUGCCUGAAAUCCCGCAAGGAAGAAGAACGAGUCCAUGAAGAAGACAAACAGACGUAGAUGAACGGAUCCUCACAACUCCGGAACGAAACCGAAGCUAAUGCGAGAAGUAACCCGGAAAGAAACAAACAACAAAGUAAACAACCAUCACAUAAUCAUGUCAUGAUGCACAAUCGAGUAUGAUGCAUGUCCGGUUUAAUGAAGCAUGGCAUGGCAAAGUGCACAAGCAAUCCUACAAAUUAAGUGGAGCUCAAUAUGCAUCCCCAUUGCAUAUUAACGAAACACCAUGUUCAAGUUAUUUAGUUCGAUCUUGUUUAUGUACCCAACAAUAUUAAAUGUUGUUAACCAUGGCAAGAGGGUGAAGCAAAAGUAAACUAAACCUUUAGGCACGUUUAAAUGAGGACGGAAAUAACAAACAACAAUUCCGGUAAAACCCCAUAUGCACAUUAUAAGGUUUGGUACUGUUCUGCCUUAAACACAAUUUUAGAUUUAUUAAUCAUGCUAGAUGAGUGCAUCAUGUUAAACUAGGCAUUUUCCACCCCAUUUACAUAUGAAGUUUAUUAAAUUCCGAGUUACGUUAUUUAGUUAUGAAAUAAAUCAUUUUAGCAUGGCAUAGGAGCAAAUUUAACCAAACAACAUUUUAAACAUUUUAAACAUGGACGAAAGUUGCAAAUAAUCAACCUACACAUAAUUCUAAGCAUUUUUCAUAUAUAAUUCAUUUUAAUCCGAUGCACCAAUUGAGAGUUAUUAUAUGCAUGUUGUCUAGGGGGUUUCCUG
This 10061-nucleotide long non-coding RNA is filed under the name Triticum aestivum (bread wheat). Its description in RNAcentral is "long non-coding RNA (TAES_LNC025536)". The record is from RNAcentral. Lineage: Eukaryota; Viridiplantae; Streptophyta; Magnoliopsida; Poales; Poaceae.